Molecule: long non-coding RNA, 72 nt
Organism: Lynx canadensis (Canada lynx)
Lineage: Eukaryota; Metazoa; Chordata; Mammalia; Carnivora; Felidae
Exons: 3
Source: RefSeq, a predicted model, not a curated record
AAAAUUAGCAAAAGAUCUGAACAGACAUGCCUCCAAAGAAGCUAUAUGAAUGGCCAAAAAACACUUGAAAAG